Molecule: unclassified non-coding RNA, 476 nt
Filed under: Hevea brasiliensis (rubber tree)
Lineage: Eukaryota; Viridiplantae; Streptophyta; Magnoliopsida; Malpighiales; Euphorbiaceae
Source: RNAcentral
GGUAUGAGUCAUGCUUUCCACAGAUUUCCUUAACAUCAUUUUCAAUGGUCUUUCUGGUGCAGUUUUCCCUGCCAUAGACCUUUCUUACAAGCCGAAUUGUUUCAGUAUAUAUUGGGAUUUGAUGGUAAAAUCCAACGCACAUCAAUAUAUUGGCACAAGUAAAAGGACCAAGGCCAUUGAUCUUCCUAAGUUGCUUGCUUAUAUCCACCUAUGGUCUCCAUGAAUUAUCAUUUUCAAUGUUUCCAACUGUUAUCAGUGGAUGCUCAAAACCUUUAAGCUUUAGUUUCCCACUCUCAACAGAUACAGCAAAAUCAAUAACAGUUUUUGCUCUGUGCCCAAGAUUGCGGUGCUAGUUCAAAUAAUCAACAUCCACCAUAGCCAAUUCUUUUGAGCUUGGAAAAUUUGCCAUUCCAUCCAUUGAUGGGUUCCGUCCAAGUUUCGCACGCUUGUUAUUAGCCUUGGUUUUUCCUUUCAGU